Molecule: long non-coding RNA, 2113 nt
Organism: Momordica charantia (bitter melon)
Lineage: Eukaryota; Viridiplantae; Streptophyta; Magnoliopsida; Cucurbitales; Cucurbitaceae
Source: RefSeq, a predicted model, not a curated record
CUCGCCCCCCUUGAAGAGGGGCGAAACUCUAGGGGGAGAGAUAAGAAAAGAAAAGGCCGGAGGCGGGCUUUAGGGUUUUUUAGGGGUUUGAUUUGAAGAUCUGAACUGAAGAAGAGGAAGAGAAAUUAUGGAGCCUUGUUUGUUUUGAGGGGAAUGUUGUCUGGCUCGAGGACACUCAAUUCGAUCCCGAUUUUUCUGUCUUUCAUUUCAGUGGCGUCGGACCAGGCUUCAUUCCCCCCAAUUGCUUGUCUCCUCAUCUCAGUAUUCCUCAUUUUUCUCAAUCAUCUCCUCAAGGUUAACUUCAAUUUCCCCUUUUGUGGCUUUAUUUUUUGUGGAAUAUGACCUCACUCAGCUUCCCAAUUUAAUGCCUUUUUUUUCCUUCUUCUAUUGUAGCAACCAAUUAACUGUAAAAUGAUUAUUAUUUUGUACUGUUAGUUAUGUUGGGUGGAGAUUUUGAUGGGUAUAAUGAUGGAGUUAUUUGACUGUUCUUCUUUUUCUUCUUGCUUCCUUUUUUUUUUAAUAAUUUUUUGUGGGUUUUUUUCUAAUUGCGCUAUGAUGGUGUUUUUGUUGUCAGUAGUAUAGGCUCUUUCUGAAUAAUCAUUACUCAGAUUUCUCUCAUGAUGGCUUUCAGUAUCCCAUCUGUCUCUUUCUGUAAUUUUCUCAGAUCUCUCUCUCUCUCAUCUCUCUUCUUCUUCUUCUUCUUCUUCUUCCUCUACCCUAGCUUCAUUUUUGGCCCUAACAUCAAAAUAGGUCUUAUUUAAUUUUAUUUAACCCAUGUUUUUGUCUUCAUUCCAUUUGGGAUUUACACAAUUGGGUUGUGUUUAUUUACUGGAUUCCAUUGGUUACUUUUCUUGUUUGGAGUGUGUGUGUUUUUAUAUUACAUUCAUCACAUGGGUAACUUUUGCAUGUCUUGAAAUUAACCCCAUUUGACAAAAUAAUUGAAACUUGAAUUAUUUCUUGACUUUAAUUUGUGCAUGUUGUAUGCGUUCAUUUGAUUAUCCAUUUUCAGAUUCACCCCACUAGUACUGUAUUUUGGUCGGUUUAUAAAUGGCGUUCUACACUUCAUUUUUUUAUCUUCUUUUAGUGUGUGUGUCAGUUCUCUUUUCACUACUAUGUGUUUUGCAGAGAGAGAGAGAGAAAGAGAGUCAAAAUGUUUUUGUUUUUUUACUUUUUAACUUUGUUUAAUUAUGUUAUACACUGUUUUUUGGGUUUAGAAAGGCAGCAUUUUUAUUGUUCUUUCAUUUUGACUGAAGAAAAAAGCUUGUUGGUUCAGCUUUGUUGAUUAGAAAUUUACGUGUUGAAAAAGGAGAGUUAAAAAAAAAAUGAUGGUGUCCGAUAAAGAAGAGAAUGGCUCUUUUUUACCUUUGGAUCAAAACUUUUAGCUUUGUAAUUUUUGUCCCCACACGUACACACACAAAACCUUAUAAGAGGACCUCCUCAAAGUUCUCUCUCUCUGUUUUUUUUAAAUAAAAAAAAAUUGAUUAACCCACAAAAAUAAUCAUGCAUUAUUAUCAAGUGGUCUUUUUUUUUUCUUCAUAUCUGAAAGAAAAGCAAGGACUUUUGGCUUGUCCAAUGUGAUGGAAGGAAGGGGUUGAAAGUUUGUCAGCUUUGUCUUCUGAUAUAUCAUAGAAAUCUCCGAAAGCUUUUUAGGAGAAGAAUCAAACAAGACUAUUCCCAACGAUCCAACUGAGAGUCAAAAUCCAUGGACGAAGAUUGAGGAAGAUGAAAAGAUCUUAUGUUUUCUUCUCCAUGGGAGGGUGAUGGGGCAAUGUCACGGUUUGUUUGUUUGUUUCUAUUAGAAUAUUGCAUCCAAGGUGGAGGUUUGAAUCUAUGAUCGAGAAUGAGACGAGCCGAAAUGUGUCAGUUGACAUAUUUGAAAUGGGUUUGGCUAACUUUUUCAAUAUUGUAUUUUUGUUCAUGUUGUAAUGUGUGUGGUAUGAGACAUACUUUUUUUUUUUUUGAUUGACUUUGCAAUGGGUUGUGUUGGUGUGUACUGCUGGGAUUUUGAAAAUGAUGAGAGAGUUCUUUGGAAAAUGUAAAAGUCAAAAUUUCAAGUGUAAGACUAUUUGCUUAGUUGUAAGUAGCCCUCUGAGGGGUAGUAUUGUCUUCUAAA